GCUGGGCAUGGUGGCUUACACCUGUAAUCCCAGCACUUUGGGAGGCAGAGGUGGGAGGAUUGCUUGAGCCCAGGAAUUCUAGGCUGCAGUGACCUAUGAUUGCUCCACUGCACUCCAGCCUGGGCAACAGAGCGAGACCCUAUCUAAA
Molecule: unclassified non-coding RNA, 148 nt
Organism: Macaca fascicularis (crab-eating macaque)
Lineage: Eukaryota; Metazoa; Chordata; Mammalia; Primates; Cercopithecidae
Rfam family: Metazoan signal recognition particle RNA
About the family: The signal recognition particle (SRP) is a universally conserved ribonucleoprotein. It is involved in the co-translational targeting of proteins to membranes. The eukaryotic SRP consists of a 300-nucleotide 7S RNA and six proteins: SRPs 72, 68, 54, 19, 14, and 9.
Source: Ensembl